RNAcentral lists this ribosomal RNA (366 nucleotides) under uncultured soil bacterium. RNAcentral describes it as "bacterial SSU rRNA". It matches the Rfam family "Bacterial small subunit ribosomal RNA", at positions 26 to 409 of the family's 1533-position model. The record is from RNAcentral.
AGAGCGAACGCUGGCGGCAGGCCUAACACAUGCAAGUCGAACGAACUCUUCGGAGUUAGUGGCGGACGGGUGAGUAACACGUGGGAACGUGCCUUUUGGUUCGGAAUAACUCAGGGAAACUUGUGCUAAUACCGAAUGUGCCCUUCGGGGGAAAGAUUUAUCGCCAUUAGAGCGGCCCGCGUCUGAUUAGCUUGUUGGUGAGGUAAUGGCUCACCAAGGCUACGAUCAGUAGCUGGUCUGAGAGGAUGACCAGCCACAUUGGGACUGAGACACGGCCCAAACUCCGUACGGGAGGCAGCAGGUGGGGAAUCGUUGCGCAAGUGGGACGAAAGGCCUAGACCGCGAGCCAUCGCCGGCGUGUAUGGA